AUACGUAGGGGGCAAGCGUUGUCCGGAAUUACUGGGCGUAAAGGGUGCGUAGGCGGUAUGGUAAGUUAGAUGUGAAAUCCCCGGGCUUAACUCGGGAGUUGCAUUUAAAACUGUCAGACUAGAGUGCAGGAGAGGAAAGCGGAAUUCCUAGUGUAGCGGUGAAAUGCGUAGAUAUUAGGAGGAACACCAGUGGCGAAGGCGGCUUUCUGGACUGUAACUGACGCUGAGGCACGAAAGCGUGGGGAGC
RNAcentral lists this ribosomal RNA (247 nucleotides) under uncultured bacterium. RNAcentral's name for it is "partial 16S ribosomal RNA". It matches the Rfam family "Bacterial small subunit ribosomal RNA", at positions 523 to 769 of the family's 1533-position model. The record is from RNAcentral.